GGUUAAGACCAUGCUAACAAGGCACCCGAUAAACAAUAGACAGAUAAACAAGUCGCGGACCAGAACCAUUAACAGAACACAGAUAAACAAUUCGCUGACCAGAACAACAAGCAAUAAACAGAUGAACAAUUCGUGGAUCAGAACGCUAAACAAGGGAAGGUAAACGAGACUCGGUAAGGGAAAAAAAAAGCAAAAGAGGAGAGUAAAGUGGAAAGGGAAAGGGUAAGGAAGGACGAAGAAGAACAAUGGAAAGGAAGAGAAAGAAGAAGGAAGGCAAAAAUACAAGGGCAAACGAGGACAUAGAAAGAGAGGAAAGGGAGGAGGAAGGUUAGAGAAAAGAUAAAGGAUAAGAGAAAAGAUGGAAAAGGAAAAGAAAGAAGGAAGGGAAAUUCAAGGGAAAACGAUGACAUAGAAUUAGAAAGAGAGGAAAGGGAUGAGACAGGUACGAGAAAGACAAAGGAUAGAAGAGGAGAUGGAAAAUGAGAUGAUAAAAAAAAAUGAUUAAAAAGUCGCAGGUCAGAACAAAUAACAAUGCAAGUCAACAAUUCCUAGAUGAGAACAAUUAACAACAAACAUAAAUAAUUCGCUGGGCAGAACAAUUAUCAAACAUUCACCAUACGACUGCGCCCUCCUUCUGCCUUUCUCUGCCCCUCGCUGUACAUAUAAUCGCCUCAAAUCUACAUUAAAAAAAAUAAAAA
This is a long non-coding RNA of Eriocheir sinensis (Chinese mitten crab), 698 nucleotides long. RefSeq lists it as uncharacterized. NCBI's taxonomy places the organism in Eukaryota, Metazoa, Arthropoda, Malacostraca, Decapoda, Varunidae. The record is from RefSeq and is a predicted model, not a curated record. The transcript has 2 exons.